RNAcentral lists this unclassified non-coding RNA (337 nucleotides) under soil metagenome. Its description in RNAcentral is "partial contains 5.8S ribosomal RNA, internal transcribed spacer 2, and large subunit ribosomal RNA". The stretch from base 1 to 120 matches the Rfam family "5.8S ribosomal RNA", at positions 35 to 154 of the family's 154-position model. The record is from RNAcentral.
GAUGAAGAACGCAGCGAAAUGCGAUAAGUAAUGUGAAUUGCAGAAUUCCGUGAAUCAUCGAAUCUUUGAACGCACAUUGCGCCCCCUGGCAUUCCGGGGGGCAUGCCUGUCCGAGCGUCAUUUCUGCCCUCAAGCACGGCUUGUGUGUUGGGUGUGGUCCCCCCGGGGACCUGCCCGAAAGGCAGCGGCGACGUCCGUCUGGUCCUCGAGCGUAUGGGGCUCUGUCACUCGCUCGGGAAGGACCUGCGGGGGUUGGUCACCACUAUAUUUUACCACGGUUGACCUCGGAUCAGGUAGGAGUUACCCGCUGAGCUUAAGCAUAUCAAUAAGCGGAGGA